This 407-nucleotide ribosomal RNA is filed under the name uncultured bacterium. RNAcentral describes it as "partial 16S ribosomal RNA". It matches the Rfam family "Bacterial small subunit ribosomal RNA", at positions 28 to 526 of the family's 1533-position model. The record is from RNAcentral.
GACGAACGCUGGCGGCGCGCUUAACACAUGCAAGUCGAGCGAAGCGGCGGACGGGUGAGUAACCCGUGAGUAACCUGCCUUAGACAUUGGGAUAGCCUCGGGAAACCGGGAUUAAUACCAAAUGGUCUAAGAUGGACUCGCGUCCCAUUAGCUAGUUGGUGAGGUAACGGCCCUCCAAGGCGACAAUGGGUAGCCGGCCUGAGAGGGUGAACGUCCACCUUACCCAUAACAACCAUUCCAAACUCUACGUAAUGCAGCAGUGGGGAGUAGUGAACAAUGGAGGGAACUCUGAUCCAGCGACGCCCCAUGUACGAAGAAGGCUUUCGAGUCGUAAAGUUCUUUUAUAUGGGAAGCGGUACCAUAAGAAAGAGCCCCGGCUAACUACGUGCCAGCAGCCGCGGUAAUUC